GAGGGUAUAGCUCAGUGGUAGAGCGCACGCUUAGCGUGCAUGAGGUCAUGGGUUCGAUCCCCAGUACCUCUG
Molecule: transfer RNA, 72 nt
Filed under: Camelus bactrianus (Bactrian camel)
Lineage: Eukaryota; Metazoa; Chordata; Mammalia; Artiodactyla; Camelidae
Also listed under: 2 other names
Rfam family: tRNA
About the family: Transfer RNA (tRNA) molecules are approximately 80 nucleotides in length. Their secondary structure includes four short double-helical elements and three loops (D, anti-codon, and T loops).
Source: Rfam by way of RNAcentral